UACCCUAUAAAUAAAGUCUUCCUAAAUUUAUUUAUACUAUUCUAAUUGAAUAGUAUUUACUUUAGGAAAAUAUGGUCUGGUUAUCAUAUACUAGAUCAUUCUGCUUCUCUAGGUUUUAAAUAAUAUGUUUAAUUUUUGAUGAAUUUUAACAUUAGAACACCAACACAUUUUAUUUUGUUUUUUAGAUUUUAUGUGACUGUUUACGAAUUGAAAUUUUAUUGAAGAAGACACCUGGAAAGCUGUGUCAUCUGAACUAAGGUCAUUGAAUCCUUGUGAACAGAUGUUAUUUGCAAUGGUGCUGUGGUUUUCAUCUUGAAAAGGAAUGAAAGAGAAACAUCUUUAAAAGCCACAUUUCUCUUGAAAUGUCCAGUGCCUAUUAAAUGUCACUUUGUUAUCUGUAAUUUUAUGCUUGCUCUAUACCAGGAAAAUGCAAACAUUAACCAGAAAUGAAAUCACCAUUGAGACUGAAAAUUGUAAUUAACAGAUGCCUGGAAACUGCAGCCUGGGAAUAAAAAUCCAAGUAGCUUGGAAAUGCAGAGGAUGGAGAAACAAGUUAGCCAACACCAUGAGACAAUGUUCAUGGAAGACAUUUUGUAAGUGCUCUUCCAGAAAGAUCUCUCCAUAUUUGGCUAAACAGAAGUGAAGACUUGUGGAUCCUAAAAAUAUAUCCAAUAUUUAUGUGUGUACUUUCACCCCAAGUAUCCCCUUCCAUUCUCAGCCCAACGUCUCCUGUUUUCAAUUUUACUGAAAAGGUAAGAAAAAUUCUCUUGAAGAUUUUGGAGAUACUGAAACUCAUAGUUUGGCU
RNAcentral lists this long non-coding RNA (805 nucleotides) under Felis catus (domestic cat). RNAcentral describes it as "lncRNA (ENSFCAG00000052805.1)". Lineage: Eukaryota; Metazoa; Chordata; Mammalia; Carnivora; Felidae. The record is from RNAcentral.